CGGCGCGGUCGGGCAUGGGCGCAGCCUGAUCCAGCAUGCCGCGUGUGUGAAGAAGGCCUUCGGGUUGUAAAGCACUUUUGUCCGGAAAGAAAACCUUCGCCCGAAUACGGUGGGGGGAUGACGGUACCGGAAGAAUCAGCACCGGCUAACUACGUGCCAGCAGCCGCGGUAAUUA
RNAcentral lists this ribosomal RNA (175 nucleotides) under uncultured bacterium. Its description in RNAcentral is "partial 16S ribosomal RNA". It matches the Rfam family "Bacterial small subunit ribosomal RNA", at positions 352 to 525 of the family's 1533-position model. The record is from RNAcentral.